This 138-nucleotide small nucleolar RNA is filed under the name Triticum aestivum (bread wheat). RNAcentral's name for it is "Small nucleolar RNA Z247". It matches the Rfam family "Small nucleolar RNA Z247". From Rfam's summary of the family: Z247 is a member of the C/D class of snoRNA which contain the C (UGAUGA) and D (CUGA) box motifs. Lineage: Eukaryota; Viridiplantae; Streptophyta; Magnoliopsida; Poales; Poaceae. The record is from Rfam by way of RNAcentral.
AGAGUGGACAAGGAUGACAUCGUCUCUCACAUCCUAGCUGGGCUCGAAGAAGAUUUCAACCCGGUGGUUUCUACCAUGUGCUCCCGGGUGGAACCGGUGACCAUGCCCGACUGUACUCACAGCUGCUCAGCUUCAAGA